CCCUGGGAUUGCUCCACAAUCCCUAAUUUCCAGCUCCUGGCUGCUGUGCCUUUCAGGGGACCUGCAUCCCUGUCCAGGGUUGAUAAUACUCAAGUUUGAGAGAGAUUGUACUUCUUCAUUUUGGAAAAAAAAAAAGCACUGGAAUCUCAACUUGAAAAUGAAGCAAACUGAAGAAUGUUAUGGCAUCAGGGACUUUUCCAAUGAGUUGGCUCUU
Non-coding RNA from Odocoileus virginianus texanus, 214 nucleotides. Lineage: Eukaryota; Metazoa; Chordata; Mammalia; Artiodactyla; Cervidae. The record is from RefSeq and is a predicted model, not a curated record.